UGGGGAAUUUUGGACAAUGGGCGAAAGCCUGAUCCAGCAAUGCCGCGUGUGUGAAGAAGGCCUUCGGGUUGUAAAGCACUUUUGUCCGGAAAGAAAUCCUUGGCUCUAAUACAGUCGGGGGAUGACGGUACCGGAAGAAUAAGCACCGGCUAACUACGUGCCAGCAGCCGCGGUAAUACGUAGGGUGCAAGCGUUAAUCGGAAUUACUGGGCGUAAAGCGUGCGCAGGCGGUUUGCUAAGACCGAUGUGAAAUCCCCGGGCUCAACCUGGGAACUGCAUUGGUGACUGGCAGGCUAGAGUAUGGCAGAGGGGGGUAGAAUUCCACGUGUAGCAGUGAAAUGCGUAGAGAUGUGGAGGAAUACCGAUGGCGAAGGCAGCCCCCUGGGCCAAUACUGACGCUCAUGCACGAAAGCGUGGGGAGCAAACAGGAUUAGAUACCCUGGUAGUCCACGCCCUAAACGAUGUCAACUAGUUGUUGGGGA
This 482-nucleotide ribosomal RNA is filed under the name uncultured bacterium. Its description in RNAcentral is "partial 16S ribosomal RNA". It matches the Rfam family "Bacterial small subunit ribosomal RNA", at positions 355 to 829 of the family's 1533-position model. The record is from RNAcentral.